Salvia splendens (bonfire salvia) is the source of this 314-nucleotide long non-coding RNA. RefSeq lists it as uncharacterized. The record is from RefSeq and is a predicted model, not a curated record. The transcript is spliced from 4 exons. Lineage: Eukaryota; Viridiplantae; Streptophyta; Magnoliopsida; Lamiales; Lamiaceae.
CUCUCUCCCCAAAUCUCUCUCACAUCCAAACCACCCAUCCCUCUAUUUUAAAUCUCCAAUUUAGAUUUUUUUUUUUGCUAUUCUACACGUUCUCUGCAAGCAAGAAAAACCAAGACCAUUCUACUCAAUUUCAAUUCAAGAAAUCGGAACUCUCACGUUCAAAGAAUCUCCCUUUUCAGCUUUGUGAACUCCACAAUUAAAUUCAAUUCACAGAGGUGAAUCAUCGCAAGUGAAACGUGAGACCAAAGGGAAGAGAGUACUUGAGAUUUUAAGCAAUCGAGGUUGAGCGGCGACGAGGAUGUGGUGGUGUUGAG